Molecule: non-coding RNA, 371 nt
Organism: Zootermopsis nevadensis
Lineage: Eukaryota; Metazoa; Arthropoda; Insecta; Blattodea; Termopsidae
Source: RefSeq, a predicted model, not a curated record
GAUAAACAUUACUUCAACCAAAUUAAACCAAUUUUCGAGCAAUGAAGUAUAGCGGGAUACUUCCUAUUACCAUACCAAAGUCAGUUUGAUACAGGACGACAUGCCAGCAGUUGCGAUCUGAGCACAACUAGAUCUGUAUGACAUGAGAAAAAACAUGUCAGAGGAUUUGAAAAUACUUAGUUUUAUGUUAAACUGUGUGUUCAAUUAAAUAUACUCGUAAUACCUCUGUUAUACACAUGAGACGUGUUCUCAUUUGUACGUACUCACAUAUGUAUUGUCCAAUGAAGAUAUAUCGGUUUGGAAUACACAUUGGCCUUCAGCAACAUUAAUGUGCCUAGUUUACGUACAAAUAAAUAAAAUCUCAUCAAUAA